CAUGAAGGUGACGCAGAAGAGCUUCAAUUUCCCGCGGAAGUUCAACCUGCCCUUCUACUUCGUGUCGGCGGCAGACGGCACCAACGUGGUGAAGAUCUUCAACGACGCGAUCCAGCUGGCUGUCUCCUACAAGCAGAACUCGGGGGACUUCCUGGACGAAGUCAUGGAGGAGCUGGAGAAUAUUGGGCUGGAGAAAGCAGAGGAGGAUUCGGCUGGCAAGGAGGAGAGUGGCCCGGGAGACGGCCCCCCGCCGACCUGAGCCCAGGACUGGAAGGACCCGCUCCUGCCCCCGCGCCCUCACGCAGCCAGAGGCCACGCCUUCUGCAGAGACUCGGGGGAGCAGUGCCCCCCGUGUCGGGGCGGCAGGCGGCCCUCCCUGAAGCCGACGGCCUGACAGCUUCCACCCCCCGAGGACGGGCCACCACUGUGGGGCGCGGGGCCCCAGAGGCCCCCUCCCCUGCCCUGGGGCCGCCGGCACAAGCACCGGAGGAAGGCGCUUGCCUCGACGGAGAGAUUGAAGGACCAGCAGUGCAGCCUUGGCGUGUCUCCUUGCCCCCUCCCCAGGGGAGCGGAAAGGGUCUUGGCGGCCCCCUGGCUGGAUCGGGCCGGAGGGCCACCCCCAGGCCCACGAGAUGCUUCUCGGAAGCCCCAGGCGGGACGUACGAGGGGCAGCCCUCUCCCCCUCCGUCCAGCCCUGGUGCUGAGUGGACGUGUCCCGAAGGAGGGCCGCCGACAGGCGUCGGUAAGAGCAAACGUGCUGUACCUCGGAGCAGAAUAAACAAAGAUUUCCUGC
Molecule: long non-coding RNA, 793 nt
Filed under: Varanus komodoensis (Komodo dragon)
Lineage: Eukaryota; Metazoa; Chordata; Lepidosauria; Squamata; Varanidae
Description: lncRNA (ENSVKKG00000017706.1)
Source: RNAcentral